This 748-nucleotide long non-coding RNA is filed under the name Anas platyrhynchos (mallard). RNAcentral's name for it is "lncRNA (ENSAPLG00020010402.1)". Lineage: Eukaryota; Metazoa; Chordata; Aves; Anseriformes; Anatidae. The record is from RNAcentral.
GGUAGGGUGUUUUUUUUUUUGGGGGGGGGGCCAAUCGGGGGGGGGGGGUGACCCCUUGCUGAUGGUGUCCACCCCCCCUUGCCCCACCCCUCUCUGUCCCAUAUCCCCGUGUCCCUCCGUGUCCCCCCCCCCCACGACCCCCCCUCCCCCCCCCCCCAAAAUGUGUCCCCCCCCCAGCCUGCGCAGGCACAGCUCCUCCGGCAGCUCCAGCCCCCGGCGCCGCCUGAGUAGGAAAGCGGCCUCGUCCGCCAACCUCUUGCUGCCCGUGGGGAGCCCCGAGAGCCGCCCCAAGGAGCCCGUCAUGAGCCCAGGGUCACGCCGUGCCAACUACAACCUGGAGGGGGGUGUCGGUGAAGAUGUUCCUGCGGGGCGCCCCCAUCACCAUGUACGUGCCCCUCGGGGCUGGGCCCUACGGGGGGCUACGGGCCGAGCUGCCCCCCGAGCGCCUGCAGCUCGACUGGGUCUACGGGUACCGGGGCCGGGACAGCCGCUCCAACCUGCACGUGCUGGCGUCGGGCGAGCUGGUUUACUUCAUCGCCUGCGUCGUCGUCCUCCUCCACGUCCCCCUCCGCCGCCAGCGCCACUACCUGCGUCACAGCGACUGCGUGCGCUGGUGAAGCCCGGCCUGGGGGGGGUUCAUUUGGGGUGUGGGGGGCCCCCCCCAGCCCCGUUAUCCCCCCUCCUCACCGCCCCGUUUCCCCCCCCCACAGCUGGCCGUGCACCCCGACCGUCUACGCGUCGCCACGGG